CAUAUCAUUAAGAAAGGAAAAGAAAAUAACUAUAUUCUACNGUNGCGCGACAAGCUUGAAGAUCCCCAAUGGUAAACAUGUUGUGUGGGAAUAAUGAAUUGUAUUGUANAUACAGCCAUAGAGAGUUAUAGUCUCAUUGACAAAUCUCAGAAGAACGAGUAGCAUUGUUUGGUAGUGCAGUGUGAAGUGGUGGAUGUGAACAUCAAAGGCUAAAUACAAACACAGACCGAUAGCAAAGAAGUACCGUGAGGGAAAGCUAGUUACUGUAAUGGUAANGCGCGAAAUCGAAG
This 290-nucleotide ribosomal RNA is filed under the name Parathelohania anophelis. The stretch from base 1 to 251 matches the Rfam family "Eukaryotic large subunit ribosomal RNA", at positions 39 to 358 of the family's 3401-position model. The record is from RNAcentral. Lineage: Eukaryota; Fungi; Microsporidia; Amblyosporidae.